GAUGAACGCUGGCGGCGUGCCUAAUACAUGCAAGUCGAGCGAACGGACGAGAAGCUUGCUUUUCUGAUGUUAGCGGCGGACGGGUGAGUAACACGUGGAUAACCUACCUAUAAGACUGGGAUAACUUCGGGAAACCGGAGCUAAUACCGGAUAAUAUUUUGAACCGCAUGGUUCAAAAGUGAAAGACGGUCUUGCUGUCACUUAUAGAUGGAUCCGCGCUGCAUUAGCUAGUUGGUAAGGUAACGGCUUACCAAGGCAACGAUGCAUAGCCGACCUGAGAGGGUGAUCGGCCACACUGGAACUGAGACACGGUCCAGACUCCUACGGGAGGCAGCAGUAGGGAAUCUUCCGCAAUGGGCGAAAGCCUGACGGAGCAACGCCGCGUGAGUGAUGAAGGUCUUCGGAUCGUAAAACUCUGUUAUUAGGGAAGAACAUAUGUGUAAGUAACUGUGCACAUCUUGACGGUACCUAAUCAGAAAGCCACGGCUAACUACGUGCCAGCAGCCGCGGUAAUACGUAGGUGGCAAGCGUUAUCCGGAAUUAUUGGGCGUAAAGCGCGCGUAGGCGGUUUUUUAAGUCUGAUGUGAAAGCCCACGGCUCAACCGUGGAGGGUCAUUGGAAACUGGAAAACUUGAGUGCAGAAGAGGAAAGUGGAAUUCCAUGUGUAGCGGUGAAAUGCGCAGAGAUAUGGAGGAACACCAGUGGCGAAGGCGACUUUCUGGUAUGUAACUGACGCUGAUGUGCGAAAGCGUGGGGAUCAAACAGGAUUAGAUACCCUGGUAGUCCACGCCGUAAACGAUGAGUGCUAAGUGUUAGGGGGUUUCCGCCCCUUAGUGCUGCAGCUAACGCAUUAAGCACUCCGCCUGGGGAGUACGACCGCAAGGUUGAAACUCAAAGGAAUUGACGGGGACCCGCACAAGCGGUGGAGCAUGUGGUUUAAUUCGAAGCAACGCGAAGAACCUUACCAAAUCUUGACAUCCUUUGACAACUCUAGAGAUAGAGCCUUCCCCUUCGGGGGACAAAGUGACAGGUGGUGCAUGGUUGUCGUCAGCUCGUGUCGUGAGAUGUUGGGUUAAGUCCCGCAACGAGCGCAACCCUUAAGCUUAGUUGCCAUCAUUAAGUUGGGCACUCUAAGUUGACUGCCGGUGACAAACCGGAGGAAGGUGGGGAUGACGUCAAAUCAUCAUGCCCCUUAUGAUUUGGGCUACACACGUGCUACAAUGGACAAUACAAAGGGCAGCGAAACCGCGAGGUCAAGCAAAUCCCAUAAAGUUGUUCUCAGUUCGGAUUGUAGUCUGCAACUCGACUACAUGAAGCUGGAAUCGCUAGUAAUCGUAGAUCAGCAUGCUACGGUGAAUACGUUCCCGGGUCU
Molecule: ribosomal RNA, 1372 nt
Filed under: uncultured bacterium
Lineage: Bacteria
Description: bacterial SSU rRNA
Rfam family: Bacterial small subunit ribosomal RNA
Source: RNAcentral